UAAGAGGCAGGGCAUGGGUUCAAGAGGUGGCUUAGCUUAGUGCUGCAGUUUUCCAGAUCUGAUCUGUGGACCCUUCCAGGGGCCUGAGACCCUUCCAAAGACCAAGUGGACAAAACUAUUUCCAUCACACUGUGACAUUAUUUACCUUUUGGAUUGCACUGACACUCUCAGAGAUGACUGAAAAGCAAUAGUGAACAAAUCGUUAGUGCCUUGGAAAAAUACUUAUUUUUUUUUUUAUUAGCGAUGUCACUCAUAUGAGUUGGAAUAGCUUUUCCUUAGAUAUAUGAGGAUGUCUUAUAAAUGCACUCAUACGAAUAAACAAAGUUUCAGAAGCAGCUUGGGCAGGCCUACAAAUAUAUAUUGGUGACGAUAAAGGCCUUUGAGACCAUAACUGAUAAAUCAUUGUUGCCAAUAAUACAAUUCAAGUUCUCAAGCCAAAGUUAAUAAUUUCCAACACAUGUAUCUUAUCCUCUUCCUCCUUCCUGUCCUUCCUCCUCCCCUCCUCCUCCUCCUCCUCCUCCUUUUUCUUCUUGUUUUAUGCUGGGGAUGAAACCCAGGGCUCUAGGCAUGCUAGACAAAGUGCCCUACCACUGAUCCCCAGAGUAGUGGUGACAUUAACAGACUGCAUUUAAAAAUAUAUUUCUUGGUGAAGGUAGAUCUGCAAAACUCAGUGAACCAAUAUCUUCCAAAUGUCCA
RNAcentral lists this long non-coding RNA (696 nucleotides) under Marmota monax (woodchuck). Lineage: Eukaryota; Metazoa; Chordata; Mammalia; Rodentia; Sciuridae. The record is from RNAcentral.